Molecule: unclassified non-coding RNA, 213 nt
Filed under: plant metagenome
Description: partial contains small subunit ribosomal RNA, internal transcribed spacer 1, and 5.8S ribosomal RNA
Source: RNAcentral
UUUCCGUAGGUGAACCUGCGGAAGGAUCAUUAAAAAUGAAGCUGGGAAACCGGUCCUUCUCACCCUUGAUUAUCUCAAUUUGUUGCUUUGGUGGGCCGCGCAAGCACCGGCUUCGGCUGGAUCGUGCCCGCCAGAGGACCACAACUCUGUAUUAUAUGUCGUCUGAGUACUAUAAAAUAGUUAAAACUUUCAACAACGGAUCUCUUGGUUCUG